UACGUAGGGACCAAGCGUUGUUCGGAUUUACUGGGCGUAAAGGGCGCGUAGGCGGCGCGGUAAGUCGGGUGUGAAAUCUCGGAGCUUAACUCCGAAACUGCAUUCGAUACUGCCGUGCUUGAGGACUGGAGAGGAGACUGGAAUUUACGGUGUAGCGGUGAAAUGCGUAGAUAUCGUAAGGAAGACCAGUGGCGAAGGCGGGUCUCUGGACAGUUCCUGACGCUGAGGCACGAAGGUCAGGGGAGCAAACGGG
This 253-nucleotide ribosomal RNA is filed under the name uncultured bacterium. Its description in RNAcentral is "partial 16S ribosomal RNA". It matches the Rfam family "Bacterial small subunit ribosomal RNA", at positions 524 to 776 of the family's 1533-position model. The record is from RNAcentral.